GGGAACUGGCAUCUUAGAUUCAGGUCUCAGCCAUAUCAGUCAAUUGCCAUUUCGUAGACGCAGUUAUCUAAGGCCAUCUUGGUGAAACAGGAGUAAGGCUGUGCUGCAUCUCUUAGAGAUAUGCAGGGACCUCUGGAUUGCGUCAUGGCCUACGUGGAUGCCGCAACAAUAUGAAACACCUGAAGGAAAAGUUAAAAAUGAAAUCAGCCAAGUUUUAACAGAUGUUUAGAUACGCAAGUUUCUUAAACCAAAUAGCUAGAUCAUGGCUGUGUAUCUUAGUUACAGGUCCUUCUAGUUGUGGGAUGUGGGACGCCGCCUCAACGUUGCCUGACAAGCAGUGCCAUGUCCACGCCCAGGAUCCGAACCCUGGGCUGCUGCAGCGGAGCGCACGAACUUAACCACUCGCCCAAGGAGCCGGCCCCGGAAAUUUUUCUUAAAAAGUGGCACUGGUAGGAGGUCACAGCUCAAAUUUCUACAGAAUGAAAAGUUUCAGCUACAUGAGAGAUAUAGGCGUGUAUAAGUUGUUUGGAAGUGGUAAGAAUGUAGCAAAGCAGAAAGAAC
This 561-nucleotide long non-coding RNA is filed under the name Equus asinus (donkey). RNAcentral's name for it is "lncRNA (ENSEASG00005037544.1)". The record is from RNAcentral. Lineage: Eukaryota; Metazoa; Chordata; Mammalia; Perissodactyla; Equidae.